AGAGUUUGAUCCUGGCUCAGGAUGAACGCUAGCUACAGGCUUAACACAUGCAAGUCGAGGGGCAGCAUGGUCUUAGCUUGCUAAGGCCGAUGGCGACCGGCGCACGGGUGAGUAACACGUAUCCAACCUGCCGUCUACUCUUGGACAGCCUUCUGAAAGGAAGAUUAAUACAAGAUGGCAUCAUGAGUCCGCAUGUUCACAUGAUUAAAGGUAUUCCGGUAGACGAUGGGGAUGCGUUCCAUUAGAUAGUAGGCGGGGUAACGGCCCACCUAGUCUUCGAUGGAUAGGGGUUCUGAGAGGAAGGUCCCCCACAUUGGAACUGAGACACGGUCCAAACUCCUACGGGAGGCAGCAGUGAGGAAUAUUGGUCAAUGGGCGAGAGCCUGAACCAGCCAAGUAGCGUGAAGGAUGACUGCCCUAUGGGUUGUAAACUUCUUUUAUAAAGGAAUAAAGUCGGGUAUGGAUACCCGUUUGCAUGUACUUUAUGAAUAAGGAUCGGCUAACUCCGUGCCAGCAGCCGCGGUAAUACGGAGGAUCCGAGCGUUAUCCGGAUUUAUUGGGUUUAAAGGGAGCGUAGAUGGAUGUUUAAGUCAGUUGUGAAAGUUUGCGGCUCAACCGUAAAAUUGCAGUUGAUACUGGAUAUCUUGAGUGCAGUUGAGGCAGGCGGAAUUCGUGGUGUAGCGGUGAAAUGCUUAGAUAUCACGAAGAACUCCAAUUGCGAAGGCAGCCUGCUAAGCUGCAACUGACAUUGAGGCUCGAAAGUGUGGGUAUCAAACAGGAUUAGAUACCCUGGUAGUCCACACGGUAAACGAUGAAUACUCGCUGUUUGCGAUAUACUGCAAGCGGCCAAGCGAAAGCGUUAAGUAUUCCACCUGGGGAGUACGCCGGCAACGGUGAAACUCAAAGGAAUUGACGGGGGCCCGCACAAGCGGAGGAACAUGUGGUUUAAUUCGAUGAUACGCGAGGAACCUUACCCGGGCUUAAAUUGCAGAUGAAUUACGGUGAAAGCCGUAAGCCGCAAGGCAUCUGUGAAGGUGCUGCAUGGUUGUCGUCAGCUCGUGCCGUGAGGUGUCGGCUUAAGUGCCAUAACGAGCGCAACCCUUGUUGUCAGUUACUAACAGGUUCUGCUGAGGACUCUGACAAGACUGCCAUCGUAAGAUGUGAGGAAGGUGGGGAUGACGUCAAAUCAGCACGGCCCUUACGUCCGGGGCUACACACGUGUUACAAUGGGGGGUACAGAGGGCCGCUACCACGCGAGUGGAUGCCAAUCCCAAAAACCUCUCUCAGUUCGGACUGGAGUCUGCAACCCGACUCCACGAAGCUGGAUUCGCUAGUAAUCGCGCAUCAGCCACGGCGCGGUGAAUACGUUCCCGGGCCUUGUACACACCGCCCGUCAAGCCAUGGGAGCCGGGGGUACCUGAAGUGCGUAACCGCGAGGAGCGCCCUAGGGUAAAACUGGUGACUGGGGCUAAGUCGUAACAAGGUAGCC
Molecule: ribosomal RNA, 1489 nt
Filed under: uncultured bacterium
Lineage: Bacteria
Description: bacterial SSU rRNA
Rfam family: Bacterial small subunit ribosomal RNA
Source: RNAcentral